This 751-nucleotide ribosomal RNA is filed under the name uncultured bacterium. Its description in RNAcentral is "bacterial SSU rRNA". It matches the Rfam family "Bacterial small subunit ribosomal RNA", at positions 28 to 774 of the family's 1533-position model. The record is from RNAcentral.
GAUGAACGCUAGCGGCAGGCUUAACACAUGCAAGUCGAGGGGCAGCACGGGUAGCGAUAUCUGGUGGCGACCGGCGCAAGGGUGCGUAACGCGUGAGCAACAUGCCCGUAUCAGGGGGAUAAUCCAGGGAAACUUGGUCUAAUACCCCAUAGCAAUUACUGGAGGCAUCUUUAGUAAUUUAAAGCUUUGGUGGAUACGGAUUGGCUCGCGUGACAUUAGCUAGAUGGUAAGGUAACGGCUUACCAUGGCUACGAUGUCUAGGGGUUCUGAGAGGAAGAUCCCCCACACUGGAACUGAGACACGGUCCAGACUCCUACGGGAGGCAGCAGUGAGGAAUAUUGGACAAUGGAUGGAAAUCUGAUCCAGCCAUGCCGCGUGCAGGAAGACGGCCCUAUGGGUUGUAAACUGCUUUUGUAUGGGAGCAAUAAGGUCUAUGCGUAGACUGAUGAGAGUACCAUACGAGUAAGCAUCGGCUAACUCCGUGUCAGCAGCCGCGGUAAUACGGGGGAUGCAAGCGUCAUCCGGAUUUAUUGGGUUUAAAGGGUGCGUAGGCGGUUUGAUAAGUCAGCGGUGAAAUAUUUCAGCUUAACUGAAAGGGUGCCGUUGAUACUGUCAGGCUUGAACAUGGUUGCUGUGGGUGGAAUGUGUGGUGUAGCGGUGAAAUGCUUAGAUAUCACACAGUAUAUCGAUUGCGAAGGCAGCUCACAAAGCCAUUAUUGACGCUGAUGCACGAAAGUGUGGGGAUCAAACA